Molecule: long non-coding RNA, 1297 nt
Organism: Nematostella vectensis (starlet sea anemone)
Lineage: Eukaryota; Metazoa; Cnidaria; Anthozoa; Actiniaria; Edwardsiidae
Exons: 4
Source: RefSeq, a predicted model, not a curated record
UGCUUGUUGUUGGUGGGGUACGCUUGCUGGUAGAUCUGCUGACACUUGCCGACCUACACACGACACGAGCCACCGCGCCACUCCAGGGACUCGGAUGGCUAUAUUGUUCGCCCAUUUCCACGAGUAAAGCGAAUGUUGUGUCAGAAACCAUUUGUCUGCCGCAUGUGGUACAGAUUCGCACGUUGGAGGAUCUCUUGAAGACGCGGAGGAAGAGUAAAAGCUGUCAACCAUGUCCAUCGACGAAGCUUAUGAAAGCUAAAGCUGAAACAUGAUCUUUCAGGACGGAGGCAAGAUGAGGAAGGCAUACUUUCUACUGGCACAGAAAGACCAUCCGGACGGUAGGGUAAUUAAAUAUCUGGUUACGCUCUUGCCUACAGAGCCCUUUUACUUUGACUAAGAGAUACUUUUGUUUUUGUUUGGUUAACAGAGCCUUUUGACUUUGGCUAACAGAGUUCUUUUACUUUGGCUAUGAGCCCUUUCACUUUGACUUAAAUAGCACUUUUCCCCUGUCUACAAGAGCUUUCUUACUUUGACUAAAAUAUCCCUUUUUCGCUUUGACCAUAAGAGCACUUUUACUUUGACUAUAACAUCGCUUUCACUUUGGCUAUAAGAGCCUUUUUAUUUUAACUAUAACAGCCUAUUUACAUUGACUAAAGGAGUCCUCUUAUUUAAGCUAUAAAAGAUUUUUUACUUCCAUAAAAAGAGCCUUUUACCUGGACUAUGGGCCCUAAGGACCCUUUUACUUUAACUUUAGCUAUAAAAGCCUUUUUACUUUUGUACUAUACGAGCCUUUUUACUUGGGGUAUAAGGACUUUUUUACUUUUUGACUAUAACAUUUUUUUAUACUAUAAGAGCCCUUUUUCACUAUCAGAGCUUGUUUUCUUUUAUAUUUUAAGAGCCCAUUUACUUUGGCUAUAAGAGCUCUUUUAAUGUAAAAUAACAGUCUUUUAACUUUUGUACUAUAAGUUUUCUUUUACUUUGGCUACAAGAUCCCCUUCACUUUAAUAUAAGAGCAUUUAUACUUUGACUAUAAGAAUCUUACUUUACACGAAGAGGAUCAGCGGAAAAGAAGAAAAGAGAAACAAAAGGUAAAGCACCCAAGAAGGGAAGAGAAGGAAGAGGUAGAACAGAAAAGAGCCCUGUAAGAGCCCUUUUAGUUUUACUAUCAGAACGUUUUACUUUGCAAGAAGAGGCUGAGCGGACAGAAGAGAAGAGAAAGAAGAGGUAACGUAGACAAGUAGACAAAAGUAAAAAGAAGCGGAACAGAAAAGGAAGGAAUAGAAUGAAGAGGCUGAAC